UUUAGGCUUCACCCGUGUUGUCACGUGUCCGUCUAGGGUGCUGGCUCUGGCUGUGUGGGGUGCACCCACGUUGGCUUCCCACAAUGCCACCUGUCCUCGUAGGGGGCCCUUGGGUUUCUUUGGGGUAUGGCGGGGGCAGUGGGAUUGUCGGGCUGGUGGAUGGUACAGGUGAACUUGCUGAGUGCUGCCGUGGCUGCCCUGGAACUCCCCCUCCUGCUGCCUGGCCUGCCUGGCCAGCCCACCGGGCAUGAAGUGAGAAUAUGUAUUUAGUUAUCUUUUUCAAAGCAUUGGUUUUUGCUUUAGUUGAUCUCAUUUUUUUUGGCCAUGGCCGGAGCAUGUGAAAGUUCCAGGGCCAGAGACUGAACCCAAGGCACAGCAGUGACAACGCUGGAUCCUUAACCCACUGAGCCACCAGGAACUCCUAAGCUCACUUUUUACUUUUAUUUUUUUUAAUUAAUUACUUUAUUUAUUUUAGGGACUCACCCAUGGCAUAUGGAAGUUCCCAGGCUAGGAGUUGAAUCGGAGCUGUAGCCACUGGCCUACGCCAGAGCCACAGCAACGCAGGAUCCGAGCCGCGUCUGCAACCUACACCACAGCUCAUGGCAACGCCGGAUCGGUAACCCACUGAGCAAGGGCAGGGACCGAACCCGCAACCUCAUGGUUCCUAGUCGGAUUCGUUAACCACUGCGCUACGACGGGAACUCCAUUUUGAGUAAUUUUUGAGUAAUUUUUUUAUUAUUAUUCAAUUGUAAGUGUUUCUUUUUUUUUUUUCUUUUUACGGUUGCACCUGCGGCAUAUGGAAGUUCCCAGGGUACAUGUCUAAUUGGAGCUGCAGCUGCCGGUGUAUGUCACAGCCACAGCAACACCAGAUCCUUACUCACUGAGCGAGGCCAGGGAUCAAACCCGUAUCCUCACAGAGACAACGUCGGGGCCUCAACCCACUGCGUCACAAUGGGAACUCCCAAUUGUGUUUCUUAAUCAUGUUUUUAACCUAAGGAUUUUCCAAGGGUGUGUUAUUUGGUCUCAGACACAUAGGAUUUCUUUUAACAACUUUGUUGAGAUGUAAUUUACACACCAUAAAAUUCACCCGUUCCAAGUAUUCAGUGGAUUUUAGGGUAUUCACAGAGUUGUGCAACCAUCACCGUGGUCAAAUUUGGUCAGUCGCCCUAGAAAGAAACCUGUACCCUUUGUCAGUUACUCCCCGUUUCCCUGCCAGCACCCCCACCGCCAUUAUCCCUGUUUUCCUCUCUAGACCUGCCUCUUCUGGUCAUGGUGUGGAAGCGGCGUCGUACACUGUGUGGUCUUUGAUGACGGACUUCUCAGCGGCACCUUUCGAGGUUCAUCCAGCUUUCAGUGCCUGCCAGUCCGCUUCCGUUUUCUCUAUGGAGUCAUGGUCGGUUGUAUGGGUAGACUGCGUUUUUGAAAUGCAGUCUUCCUUUGGUAGACAUUUGGCUUGUUCCCACUUUGGCUUUUAUGAAUAAUGCGCGGUGGACAUUGGGGGACAGUUUCUGUGUGGACAUUUGUUUUCCUCUCUCUUGGGUGUGUGCCUGGGUGGACUUGCUGGCUCAUAUUGUAACUCUCCGUUUAAUCUUCUGAGGACUCGCUGGAUGAUUUUUCAAAGGCGCCGUAUCAUUUUGCAUUGCCAUGAGCUGUGGUGUAGGCCAGCAGCUGCAGCUCCAAUUCGAUCCCUAGCGUGGAAACUUCCAUAUGCCGCAGGUACAGCUCUAAAAACAACUGAUAAAUAAAAAUAAAAUGUAUCUUUUUAUUAUUGAGUUAUGAGUUCCUCAUAUAUUCUAGAUACAAGUCCUUUUUAUCAGAUAUAUGAUUUGCAAAAUUUUUUUUUUGGUAACAAUUUUCUCCAGUUGUGUAAGUUGUUUUUACACCUUCUUGAAGGUGUCAUUUGAAGCACAAAACCCACUUUUUUUCCUUUAUUUAAGUAUAGUUAAUUUACAGUGUUGUGUUAGUUUCGAGUGUACAGCAAAGUAACUCAGUUAUACCCAUGUAUAUUUUAUAUUUUUCCAUAUGGUUUAUCACAGGAUAUUGACUACAGUUCCCUGUGGUCUACAGGGACCUUGUUCAGCACAAAAACUAUUUUUGAGGAAGUCCAAUUUGUAUUUUGGUUUAUUUUUUUUUAAUUAUUUUUUUUUGUCUUUUUUGGCUGCCCCUUGGCAUAGAGAGUUACCUGGCCAGGGAUCAGAUUCGAGCAGCAGUCAUGACCUAAGCUCUGGCUGCAGCAAUGCUUGGAGCCUUAACCCACUGUACCAGGCCUGGGAUCGAACCAGCACUCCCAAGAAUUGGCAGAUCCUGAUGGCGCCAUGGCGAGAACUGUGUUUUCUUUUGUUGCUGUUGGUGAAAUAGCUAAGAAACCAUUGCCAAAUCCCAAAAUCAUGAUUUUUUUUCUUCUAAGAGUCUUAUAGUUAAAGCCCUUAAAUUUAGGUCUUUGAUCUGUUUUGGGUAAAUCUUUGUGUGUCGUGUGUAAGGGUCCACAUUUCUUCCUUUGCAUGCAGAUAUCUAGUUGUUCCAGCGUCAUAUAUUUUUUGGGCCACACUCAACAGCAUGUGGGAAGUUCCUGAGCCAGGGCUCGAACCCGCACCAUAGCAGCCACCUGCGCUGCUGCAGGGACAGCAUUGGAUCUUUAACCUGCUGGGUCACAGGAUAACUCCCCAGCGUCAUACCCUGAAAACGCUGUUCUAACCCCCAUUGAAUUGUUUUGGCAUCCUUGUCAAAAAGCAGUUGACUAAACGUGAGUGUUUGUUUAUUGACUCUCGUUCUGCUCCAUCAUCUCGAUGUUGCUCCGUAUCCUGGUCCACGUUGUCCUGAUUCCUGGGACUGUGCUGUAAAUUUUGAAAGUGGAAAGAAGGAGUGUUUCACCGUUGUUCGUCUUUAAGACUGUUUUGUCUUUCUCAAUCUCUCACUUUCCAUGUAGAUUUAAGGAUCAGCCUGUCUCUUGACAUAUGAGAUUUAAAAAAAUUAUCCUUGAGCUACUAAUUUCCAUACUUCAUUGUGUUGGGGGAGACAGCCUACAAGAUAAGGGCCGUUUGGAGGAUGUUGAGGCUUCUGGUAUUGAUUUAAUGUCUUUCUGGGGCUGCACCCAUGGAGGUUCCCAGGCGAGUGGUUGAAUCAGAGCUAUAGCCACUGGCCUACACCAGAGCCACAGCAAUGCCAGAUCCUUAACCCACUGAGCUAGGUCAGGGAUCGAACCUGCGUCCUCGUGGAUGCUAGUCAGAUUCAUUUCCGCUGAGCCACAAUGGGAACUCCUGAUUUAAUAUCUUUUUUUUUUUUUUUCUUUUUAGGGCCUUGCCUGCAGCAUAUGGAAGUUCCCAGGCUAGGGGUCGAAUCAGAGCUACAGCUGCUGGCCUACACCACAGCUACAGCAACACGGGAUCCGAGCCACAUCUGUGACCUACACUACAGGUCACAGCAAUGCUGGAUCCUUAACCCACUGAGCAAGGCCAGGGAUCAAACCUGCAUUCUCAUGAAUACUAGUUGGGUUGGUUUUCACUGAGCCAUGACAGAAACUCCCAAUUGAUUUAAUACAUUUAUAUUUGUAAGUGUCACGUGGUGUGUUCAAAAGGAAUUUAUAUUCUCUGUCCUUUGGGUGUAGAUUUAAUAUCUCUUUAACAGCUUGAGCUUAUUCCUAGUAUUAUUCCCCUUUUUACCUCUGCAGCUGUAAGAACUCAUACAGAGGGACCCCUUGCUGUCUCCAGUGGUCAUGGCUUGCAAAACUGGCACAGAAAAAUCACAACCAGGAAUUGACACUGAUACCGUCCACCACUGUUAUUCUUGCUUCUGGAGUUCUGUUUGUAGCGUGCGUUUAGGCAUUGAGUUCUGGACAGUUUGUCGUCUGUGUGGGUUCCAUAACGCGCUAUCACAGACAGGUGGCUGCACGGUUCCGAAGCUGCGAGGAUUCUCACGUUGCCUUUUUAUGGCCACACGCGUUUCUCUCCCUCCUCCUGUCCCUCCUCAUGCCUGACCACUGGCAACCCUGAAUUUGUCCUCCAUUUCUAAAGUUUUUCAUUUCAAAAAUGUCAUAUAUCAAUGGAAUCAUACAGUUGAUAACCUUUUGGGAUUGGCUUUUUAUGCCCAGCGGUAAUAUGCUCAGCAAAAAAAAAAA
Molecule: long non-coding RNA, 4114 nt
Filed under: Sus scrofa (pig)
Lineage: Eukaryota; Metazoa; Chordata; Mammalia; Artiodactyla; Suidae
Description: lncRNA (ENSSSCG00005028156.1)
Source: RNAcentral